AAUAGUGGCACCCAAGCCUUCAUUGCGACGGUGCUUUUUGAUCCUUCGGUGUCGACUCUUCCUAUUAUUGUGUUGCAGCAUUUGUCAAGCGUUGGAUUGUUCACUCUCUAAAGAGGGAAAAUGACCUGAAUUCUCUUCGUGAA
Molecule: non-coding RNA, 143 nt
Filed under: Volvox carteri f. nagariensis
Lineage: Eukaryota; Viridiplantae; Chlorophyta; Chlorophyceae; Chlamydomonadales; Volvocaceae
Description: Eukaryotic large subunit ribosomal RNA
Rfam family: Eukaryotic large subunit ribosomal RNA
Source: Rfam by way of RNAcentral